RNAcentral lists this small RNA (96 nucleotides) under Klebsiella quasipneumoniae subsp. quasipneumoniae. Its description in RNAcentral is "partial RtT sRNA". It matches the Rfam family "RtT RNA", at positions 1 to 93 of the family's 130-position model. Rfam says of the family: This family represents a bacterial cis-regulatory element known as RtT RNA. The exact function of RtT is unknown although it is thought that it may be involved in changing the cellular response in relation to amino acid starvation. The record is from RNAcentral. Lineage: Bacteria; Pseudomonadati; Pseudomonadota; Gammaproteobacteria; Enterobacterales; Enterobacteriaceae.
UGCAUCUAUAGCCUGUGAGGAUGAGAACCUCCGGGGGCAGGAGGUUCGACUCGAGCGCAGCGAGAGAACGUUGCGUCAGCAACGGCCCGCAGGGCG